GACGAACGCUGGCGGCGUGCUUAACACAUGCAAGUCGAACGGAAAGGCCCCUUUGGGGGUACUCGAGUGGCGAACGGGUGAGUAACACGUGAGUAACCUGCCCUUGACUUCGGGAUAACUGCCGGAAACUGGGGCUAAUCCCGGAUAGGAAUCCUUGCUGCCUGGUGGGGGUUGGAAAGCUUCGGCGGUUUUGGAUGGACUCUCGGCUUAUCAGGUUGUUGGUGGGGUAGUGGCUUACCAAGGCUUUGACGGGUAGCCGGCCUGAGAGGGGGACCGGCCACAUGGGGACUGAGAUACGGCCCAGACUCCGACGGGAGGCAGCAGUGGGGAAUAUUGCAAAAUGGGCGGAAGCCUGAUGCAGCAACGCCGCGUGCGGGAUGACGGCCUUCGGGUUGGAAACCGCUUUCAGCAGGGGCGAAGCUUGUGGUGACGGUACCUGCAGAAGAAGCACCGGCUAACUACGUG
This 465-nucleotide ribosomal RNA is filed under the name uncultured bacterium. RNAcentral's name for it is "partial 16S ribosomal RNA". It matches the Rfam family "Bacterial small subunit ribosomal RNA", at positions 28 to 507 of the family's 1533-position model. The record is from RNAcentral.